Small nuclear RNA from Monodelphis domestica (gray short-tailed opossum), 179 nucleotides. Its record names the gene U2. It matches the Rfam family "U2 spliceosomal RNA". Rfam says of the family: U2 is a small nuclear RNA (snRNA) component of the spliceosome (involved in pre-mRNA splicing). Complementary binding between U2 snRNA (in an area lying towards the 5' end but 3' to hairpin I) and the branchpoint sequence (BPS) of the intron results the bulging out of an unpaired adenosine, on the BPS, which initiates a nucleophilic attack at the intronic 5' splice site, thus starting the first of two transesterification reactions that mediate splicing. The record is from Ensembl. NCBI's taxonomy places the organism in Eukaryota, Metazoa, Chordata, Mammalia, Didelphimorphia, Didelphidae.
AUCACUUCUUGACCUUUUGGCUAAAGUCAAGUGCAGUAUCUGUUCUUAUCAGUUAAUACCUGAUAAAGCCUUGAUCUGAGGACAAUAUAUGAAAUGGGUUUGGGGAAUAGAAAGAUGGAAUAGGAGAUUGUUCUGUCCAUUCCAAGUAUUGCAGUACUUCAGGGAACAGUGCACCUUCC